UCCCACUCCAGAUAUCCAAGGGUGACAGUGGAUUUUCUCUGCUUGAUUUAUUUUGUGAAGUUUUAUCCACCCACAUCUUUCUCAGGUGCUACCAUUCUGAUUCUAGUUUCACAUUUUAAAGACAGUAUUACCCUUCUAAAAGGAGGCAUUCUUAAAAUCCUAUGUAAUCUCAACAGCAGCCUGUCACUUCUAAGAACUGUAAGUGUAAAAAUGCAGUGCACAAAUAUAUUUUCCAUUGUUUAAAAACACAAUACUGUUAGAACACUCAAUUUCUGAAUAACUAAAGCGUGACUAUCAUAACAUACAUUUAUAUUUUCAGCCGCAUUUUUUAAAUUCACUUCCUUUGAGAGCCAUGGUGCAAGCCUCUCCUCACUAUGGACCCAGCUUUCAGGAAUGAGGCAGUAAUUAGGGGUGGAUGCUUUUCCUGUUUGAGACACUCCACAAAUUUACCCAAUUAAGCUCAGUGAUGGUUAUUAUUAACUAAGAGCUUAAAUGAGCAUGUCAAGGUUGGUCUGUGGGUUUUACUGAAGGUUUGGGAGGUUCUGAUGGCUGUUGGUCACUUCUGAACAAGAACUCCUUUCCCAGGGGCCUGAGGAACAAGAAGCCUUGGAAGUGUCUGUGGGCAGGCUGCUACCACAGGUACAGGCCAACUAAGCACAAGCGUGUGGUGCCAGACACAUUCUUACCAAUGCCAAAUGCUCCAAGUUCAUGAAUUACAGACCCACAGGAAUGGUCACACUGGCUCAAACACUGUGACCAUCCAGUCCAGCUCUGUGACUGACAAAGAAUGGCCAAAUUUCCUUGAAGAAAUGCCACAGAAAGCAGACAUGCAUCACCUGCCAGCACAUGUGCCUCACUCAAAGCAGCAAGAGAUUGCUUUAAAAUGUACAGUGAAUCCAGAGGUGACCAGUCAACCCCCUCUGCAGGGGGCUGGUUAUGCCACAGAUAAGAGGAAUGCUGCCUGUUGGGGAAGGAUGCUGUCACAUUCUCCUUACAGACACAAGCAGCUCUAUGGCCAAAAACCACUCUAAGCCAUUGGUUUGUUUGUAUGUUUCUUUUGUGUAUUUCUCCUCUUGAGCAAAAUCCUUCCCCAAGCCCUAAAAAUCCUGAGCAACUUUAAAAGUUAUGAGAUUUUAAACAAAUAACAAUUUAGAAAGCUAUUUAUUUGGCUUCUGCUUUUUGAGCCUCUCUGUUUCAUUUUCAAACUUUUCUCUGCAACCAGAAGGACUAAGAAAAUAAAGACGAUGUUUUAAAUGAAAGCUGAGAAUCUCACAUAAUCACAGGACUCCAGGGGUUUGAGGUUUCAGAAUAAUAUCACGAGUUGUCAAUACUGAAUGUCACUAGAAACUAUAAUGUUAUUCUCAGAAUAGAUGGCAUAAAAGCAAUUGUGGGAUAGUUUUCCUGAUGGAUGCUCCCUGUAGUACCUACAGAUACUGUGAUGGAGGGACAACCUAAAGGUACUUACAGGUGAUGAGCUGUCACAUUCUGGGUUUAGCUACUUGACUAGAGGAGUAUCGCACUUUGCAACAAAUCUGCAUGUGCAAAACGUUGUUAUUUGGUCUGUUAACUAAACAAGCUCACAGAGUAAAAAUUUGUAACGGACUUGUAGCAACACUUAAGUCCCUGGAGAAUAUACAGAAAUAAGUAGGAAGCAAAUUUUACCAUUAACUUCCCAUCUCCUCUGUAUUGUAUG
Molecule: long non-coding RNA, 1693 nt
Organism: Columba livia (rock pigeon)
Lineage: Eukaryota; Metazoa; Chordata; Aves; Columbiformes; Columbidae
Exons: 3
Source: RefSeq, a predicted model, not a curated record